GGAUUGUGGCUCAGCGGUAGAGCAUACUCCUAGCACGUGCAAGGCCCUGGGUUCAAUCCUCGGCACCA
This 68-nucleotide transfer RNA is filed under the name Marmota monax (woodchuck). Its description in RNAcentral is "tRNA.Ala". Lineage: Eukaryota; Metazoa; Chordata; Mammalia; Rodentia; Sciuridae. The record is from RNAcentral.